This 241-nucleotide non-coding RNA is filed under the name Clostridium cadaveris. Its description in RNAcentral is "T-box sequence". It matches the Rfam family "T-box leader". From Rfam's summary of the family: Uncharged tRNA acts as the effector for transcription antitermination of genes in the T-box leader family. Lineage: Bacteria; Bacillati; Bacillota; Clostridia; Eubacteriales; Clostridiaceae. The record is from RNAcentral.
AUUAUGGCUGUGAUGAGAAGAGUAAAUAUAAGAGGUAGUCUUAGCGAGCAAGGGUUGGUGAAAGCCUUGUAUGAAACUUAUAUUGAAGAACAUCUCGGAGCUUCUAACCGAAAUCUUUUUAGAGAGUAGACUUAGACGGAGUCAACCCGUUAUACGUUGAGCUGCAUUACAUUGUGCAGAUAUGAGCGGCUGUUUUCAGCAAAUUGGGUGGUACCACGGAAUUAUACCUUUCGUCCCUUAU